GUAGGUGAACCUGCGGAAGGAUCAUUAACACGUAUCCACGUAUCAACAAUCUGUGAACUCAAUCUCCCUGACAUGAGAAAAGCUGUUAGUGUAGUUAGUGGUGGGUGUACAGCGUAAAAACUGUACGCAACUAUAUUAACUAGGGUUUCGAACCCAGUGCUUUCCCAUGUUAGGCCUACAUUUCCAUCACUACCCACAAACCAUUUUCACCAAUAAACUCAUCUUGACUGAUGUACUUAUGUAAGAGAAAUCUGGCAUGAGUCUUUAUCUAAACUAAGCACAACUCUUAGCAAUGGAUAUCUUGGUUCUC
This 310-nucleotide unclassified non-coding RNA is filed under the name rhizosphere metagenome. RNAcentral describes it as "partial ribosomal RNA internal transcribed spacer region". The record is from RNAcentral.